RNAcentral lists this non-coding RNA (29 nucleotides) under Bombyx mori (domestic silkworm). The record is from RNAcentral. Lineage: Eukaryota; Metazoa; Arthropoda; Insecta; Lepidoptera; Bombycidae.
UGAUCAGAUACCUACGGUCCUACUCGGGU